AACGCACAUUGCGCCCUCUGGUAUUCCAGAGGGCAUGCCUGUUCGAGCGUCAUUUCAACCCUCAAGCCUAGCUUGGUGUUGGGGCAUUACCUUCCCUUACGGGAGGGUAAGCCCUGAAAUUCAGUGGCGAGCUCGCCAGGACUCCGAGCGUAGUAGUAAAACCCUCGCUUUGGACUGUACUGGCGCGGCCCUGCCGUAAAACCCCCAACUUCUGAAAAUUUGACCUCGGAUCAGGUAGGAAUACCCGCUGAACUUAA
Molecule: unclassified non-coding RNA, 257 nt
Filed under: Cytospora sp.
Lineage: Eukaryota; Fungi; Ascomycota; Sordariomycetes; Diaporthales; Cytosporaceae
Also listed under: 2 other names
Description: partial contains 5.8S ribosomal RNA, internal transcribed spacer 2, and large subunit ribosomal RNA
Rfam family: 5.8S ribosomal RNA (bases 1-52)
Source: RNAcentral